GUAUACAAUUUUGAUGGGCACCUUUAAGGACCCAGAUCAACAUUCUAUUACAUUCAUAGGAGUAUGUGAAUAACAUAGAAUCUAGAGAGAACAGGGCAAAGCUGGCAAAUACACAGCAGUCCCCAAUCUAUCCCGAUUGCUCAAAGACAAUUGCUUUCUCUAGAGUCUACAAGAAAGUGCACAGGUGAUUGUAAAGAUGACAAGCGUGCACAUUACCCUUCCCAGAAGAAAGAGCCAGCAACAGCCUAUCAAAUAUUUAUUCAAUAAUGAUCCUUCCGCAGGUUCACCUACGGAAA
This 296-nucleotide unclassified non-coding RNA is filed under the name uncultured fungus. RNAcentral's name for it is "sequence contains ITS1". Lineage: Eukaryota; Fungi. The record is from RNAcentral.